This 20-nucleotide transfer RNA is filed under the name Canis lupus (wolf). RNAcentral's name for it is "partial tRNA-Lys". Lineage: Eukaryota; Metazoa; Chordata; Mammalia; Carnivora; Canidae. The record is from RNAcentral.
UUUUAACCUCUCCUUAAUGA